UGAGGCAGGAGAAUUGCUUGAACCCAGGAGGUGGAGGUUGCAGUGAGCCGAGAUCGUGCCACUGUGCUCCAGCCUGGGUGACAGAGCGAAACUCCA
Molecule: microRNA precursor, 96 nt
Organism: Pan troglodytes (chimpanzee)
Lineage: Eukaryota; Metazoa; Chordata; Mammalia; Primates; Hominidae
Source: Ensembl